Molecule: long non-coding RNA, 568 nt
Organism: Passer domesticus (house sparrow)
Lineage: Eukaryota; Metazoa; Chordata; Aves; Passeriformes; Passeridae
Exons: 4
Source: RefSeq, a predicted model, not a curated record
UCUUAUGAGGAGGGGCUGAGGUCACUUGGUCUGUUCAGCCUGGAGAGGAGGAGACUCAGGGGAGACCUCAUUGUAGUUACAACCUCCUGUGAGGGGAGCAGGUGGGGCAGGCACUGAUCUCUUCUCUGUGGUGACAGUGACAGAACCCAAGAAAACAGCGUGAAACUGAGUCAGGAUUUUCCUGCUCUUAAGGGAUCCAAAAUGCAGUGGUGACCUUUUUGCAUGGACUGCCUUUGGUGUCUGAGUGCCUACAGAACAGGAACAGGAAACGUGGAAGGACUGGGAAGUCUGGGCAAUUUGAAGGAGGAGUGUUUGGGGCUUUCUGGCUCUCUCUGCCUUCUGCUUUGCAGUCAAUGCCCUUUGCUGCUUUUGGUUCAAUGUAGGGGCAGAAUGGCUGAGGAGGUACCACAGGUGCACUGCUACCAGCACGUUACUGUUAGUUUGGACUACAUCAGGAAAGGUGUGCAUUUUUUUCCUCAUCGCUUUAAAAGUGACAACUGAUUGCUUGAAAGACAGUGGUGAACCAUACCUAGGUACCUUGGAAAGGAAGGCCAUUGUUAUAAAGAGG